GAUGAACGCUGGCGAGAUGCCUUACACAUGCAAGUCGUACGGGGAUUUUUAAUUCAAGUGGCGGACGGGUGAGUAACACGUAAGAAUUUGCCUUUAGGAGGGGGACAACAACUGGAAACGGUUGCUAAUACCCCCAUAUGCUUUCGAGUGAAAUGGAUUUUUCCGCCUAAAGAGAAGCUUGCGGCUGAUUAGCUUGUUGGUGAGGUAAUGGCUCACCAAGGCGACGAUCAGUAUCUGGUUUGAGAGGAUGAUCAGACACACUGGAACUGAGACACGGUCCAGACUCCUACGGGAGGCAGCAGUGGGGAAUUUUCCGCAAUGGGCGAAAGCCUGACGGAGCAAUCUCGC
This 348-nucleotide ribosomal RNA is filed under the name uncultured bacterium. Its description in RNAcentral is "bacterial SSU rRNA". It matches the Rfam family "Bacterial small subunit ribosomal RNA", at positions 28 to 400 of the family's 1533-position model. The record is from RNAcentral.